This 503-nucleotide ribosomal RNA is filed under the name uncultured bacterium. RNAcentral's name for it is "partial 16S ribosomal RNA". It matches the Rfam family "Bacterial small subunit ribosomal RNA", at positions 30 to 523 of the family's 1533-position model. The record is from RNAcentral.
AUUGAACGCUGGCGGCAGGCUUAACACAUGCAAGUCGAGCGGGGUGAUGGUGCUUGCACUAUCACUUAGCGGCGGACGGGUGAGUAAUGCUUAGGAAUCUGCCUAUUAGUGGGGGACAACACCUCGAAAGGGAUGCUAAUACCGCAUACGUCCUACGGGAGAAAGCAGGGGAUCACUUGUGACCUUGCGCUAAUAGAUGAGCCUAAGUCGGAUUAGCUAGUUGGUGGGGUAAAGGCCUACCAAGGCGACGAUCGGUAGCGGGUCUGAGAGGAUGAGCCGCCACACUGGGAUUGGGACACGGCCCGGACUCCUACGGGAGGUAGCAGUGGGGAAUAUUGGACAAUGGGGGGAACCCUUAUCCAGCCAUGCCGUGUGUGUGAAGAAGGCCUUAUGGUUGUAAAGCACUUUAAGCGAGGAGGAGGCUCUUUUGGUUAAUACCCAAGAUGAGUGGACGUUACUCGCAGAAUAAGCACCGGCUAACUCUGUGCCAGCCGCCGCCGUAA